UGGACGAAAGUCUGACCGAGCAACGCCGCGUGAGUGAAGAAGGUUUUGCGGAUCGUAAAGCUCUGUUGUAAGUCAAGAACGUGUGUGAGAGUGGAAAGUUCACACAGUGACGGUAGCUUACCAGAAAGGGACGGCUAACUGCGUGCCAGCAGCCGCGGUAAUACGUAGGUCCCGAGCGUUGUCCGGAUUUAUUGGGCGUAAAGGGAGCGCAGGCGGUCAGGAAAGUCUGGAGUAAAAGGCUAUGGCUCAACCAUAGUGUGCUCUGGAAACUGUCUGACUUGAGUGCAGAAGGGGAGAGUGGAAUUCCAUGUGUAGCGGUGAAAUGCGUAGAUAUAUGGAGGAACACCAGUGGCGAAAGCGGCUCUCUGGUCUGUCACUGACGCUGAGGCUCGAAAGCGUGGGUAGCGAACAGGAUUAGAUACCCUGGUAGUCCACGCCGUAAACGAUGAGUGCUAGGUGUUAGGCCCUUUCCGGGGCUUAGUGCCGGAGCUAACGCAAUAAGCACUCCGCCUGGGGAGUACGACCGCAAGGUUGAAACUCAAAGGAAUUGACGGGGGCCCGCACAAGCGGUGGAGCAUGUGGUUUAAUUCGAAGCAACGCGAAGAACCUUACCAGGUCUUGACAUCCCGAUGCUAUUCUUAGAGAUAGGAGGUUACU
Molecule: ribosomal RNA, 657 nt
Filed under: Streptococcus mutans
Lineage: Bacteria; Bacillati; Bacillota; Bacilli; Lactobacillales; Streptococcaceae
Description: bacterial SSU rRNA
Rfam family: Bacterial small subunit ribosomal RNA
Source: RNAcentral